Bos taurus (domestic cattle) is the source of this 1158-nucleotide long non-coding RNA. The record is from Ensembl. Lineage: Eukaryota; Metazoa; Chordata; Mammalia; Artiodactyla; Bovidae.
ACUGAGACCCAUGCUGGCCCUGACCAAGCAGCACCCACUCCUCUCUUGGGUCUUGCUCCCUCCCAGGGGCACUGCUGAGAAGCUGGACACAGAUCUCCUUUGCUCUAGGGACCCAUCAAACUUACCUCUGCUAGUCUGGGAAAUGUUUGUUCAGCAGCUGUGAUUUUGGUGUGUUCCUGAAAGGAGGUGUGGUCAAAGUCCAUCUCCUCUGUCGUCUUGGCCUCUCUCCCACCUCAACAACAGUUUUAAAACAUUUGUGCCAAGAGCUGCAAAAAUAAAGGUCCAAAACUCGGUGUUGAAAAAGAAGGGGGAAAGUCACACAGGUGUCAGAACUUGCAGGGACUCAGCAGGUCCCGCUGCUGGAAUGGGGCUGAUGAAGUCUUUGGAAAGUUUUUGGCUCUUCAUGGCUGCCAACUCUGAGUUGUCAGCAAAGCCUUGGGUGGAGACCCGAGGUCGUUUUUGACGGUCAAGGCCAGCAUCAGGAAAAAGGGAAAGGUCAAAGCCAAGCCCCCAGCCACCCCUGGGGUCCAACCGUAAAGGAAUUCCUCGUUCGAGUGGUGCCCAGAUCUCUGUGUUCCUGAGUCACUGCCUGGAGGUGAACGGAGAGGCCAGAAAAGACUCUUCAGAGUACAGCCUCCUGUUGCUCCUGCAGCCAGCGCGCAGGGAUGCACGUGUGUGCAGCUCACCGCUCUGCACUUGGGUGCCAAUCAUUUGUUUUUUAAGAAGGUCCCCGUGGAAGAUAACAAACCCCCGAAUGAAGUCGACAAGCUUUGGCAUAGCUCAGACUUAGACUGAGGAAAGGAAGUGAAACUGACAAGAUGAGGGUUGCUGUAAACUUCAGGGCAGAAUGGAGUAACAUCUUAAUCAGUGGACAACACUUCUUCCACAGCCCUCGUUUUUAUUAAGGAAUGACAGUGGCACUAAAAGCAUCCCCCGCCUAGCACGAUCUGGAGUGAGAACCUCGCCACCUCUGUUCUUGCUUUCCCAUUCAUUAGGACCCUUUCCGAGCCUCCUUCCCCAGCAAAAACCGGGGAAUGCUUCGCGUGGUUACAAAAGGAGGGAGCGGCCGGCUUCCUAGCCUCACGCCUCAGAGAGUCAAGAACGUGCAGAUCUUUUGUCCCCGACCCCUUCCGCGGCUUGGUCGCGGGGGUGACGACC